UUGAAAUCCCAUUUAGAAAUUCUUCUUUUGUAAAUGAAAAAUUCUCGUGAGCAUUCCAGGAAGGAAGGCUAGCGAACUCGAGCCAGGACGGCGAGUGUGAGCAUCAGAGAAUUUUUACUUACAAAAGAUUAGAAUUUCUUAAAGGAAUUUAAU
Molecule: regulatory RNA element, 153 nt
Organism: Clostridium estertheticum
Lineage: Bacteria; Bacillati; Bacillota; Clostridia; Eubacteriales; Clostridiaceae
Source: Rfam